This 782-nucleotide long non-coding RNA is filed under the name Zonotrichia albicollis (white-throated sparrow). Its description in RNAcentral is "lncRNA (ENSZALG00000012648.1)". Lineage: Eukaryota; Metazoa; Chordata; Aves; Passeriformes; Passerellidae. The record is from RNAcentral.
GAAGUCCCUAAAGAUCUGAGUCCUUGUGGGAGGAAGCUGCUUGAGCAGUGCCAGCCCAGCUGCUGGGGGCUGUUCUGGCAGGAGCUGAGCCUGGAGCCCAGCCUGGCACAGCCAGGAGGAGAUGCUGCCAGGCUGGGGAUGCUGCCACGCCUGGGCACCAUCCCAGGGUGCCGCUGCCCAGUGCCCUGAGCACAGCUGCUGGAGGCCACCUCCUGCAUGGAUGAAAGCCCUGAAAUUCCCUUUGUGGGAAUUACAGACCAGACCUUCAGGGCCGAGUGUGUGUCUGCAGAUUUGCACUAAGGCUGCGGGAGAACAAGAGGGAAAACAUGUUUACAGGGAAGGAGAGGUUCCGCAGGGUGUUUUCUGCUCCUUCUGCCAUCGCUGUUGCUGGGGAAACCAGCGCGGGGCCCUCUGUCUCUGCCUGUCUGUCUGUCUGUCUCUCCAAAAGAUGCAGACAGAGAUGAGGGAGCAGGUUGUUCCCUGCCAUCCCCUUCUCAUCUCCUCUCCUCAGUUCCUGCCAGACCCAGCUGAGCACACGAGCUGGUGCAGGAGAAGACGUUUCCAGGUCCCAGCAGUGUCUGUGCCAGGGUCUGUCCCCGGCUGCCAGGGUGGCAGGGGACAGCUGGAGGGUGGCCCUGGUGUGGCACCCACAGCUCCUCCCUGAGCUGCUUUCCAGGGCACAAAGCCCGGACUUGCCAAGCCCUGCCUGCCAAAGCCUCAAUCCCAGGGCAUGUCCAGGUGUGGGAAGGGGCUCAGCAGGAUGGAGGCCACGUCCAGCUGCU